UACGGAGGAUGCGAGCGUUAUCCGGAUUUAUUGGGUUUAAAGGGUGCGUAGGUGGUAGAUUAAGUCAGCGGUGAAAGUUUGUCGCUCAACGAUAAAAUUGCCGUUGAAACUGGUUUACUUGAGUAUAGUUGAAGUAGGCGGAAUGCGUGGUGUAGCGGUGAAAUGCUUAGAUAUCACGCAGAACUCCAAUUGCGAAGGCAGCUUACUAAGUUAUAACUGACACUGAAGCACGAAAGCGUGGGUAUCAAAC
Molecule: ribosomal RNA, 250 nt
Filed under: uncultured bacterium
Lineage: Bacteria
Description: partial 16S ribosomal RNA
Rfam family: Bacterial small subunit ribosomal RNA
Source: RNAcentral